Molecule: ribosomal RNA, 403 nt
Filed under: bacterium
Lineage: Bacteria
Description: partial 16S ribosomal RNA
Rfam family: Bacterial small subunit ribosomal RNA
Source: RNAcentral
UGGGGAAUAUUGCACAAUGGGGGAAACCCUGAUGCAGCGACGCCGCGUGAACGAAGAAGGUAUUCGUAUCGUAAAGUUCUGUCCUAUGGGAAGAUAAUGACAGUACCAUAGAAGAAAGCUCCGGCUAAAUACGUGCCAGCAGCCGCGGUAACACGUAUGGCGCGAGCGUUGUCCGGAAUUAUUGGGCGGAAAGGGUACGCAGGCGGUUUAAUAAGUCGAAUGUUAAAGAUCGGGGCUCAACCCCGCAAAGCAUUGGAAACUGAUAAGCUUAAGUAGUGGCGAGGAAAGUGGAAUUCCUAGUGUAGUGGUGAAAUACGUAGAUAUUAGGAGGAAUACCAGUAGCGAAGGCGACUUUCUGGACACAAACUGACGCUGAGGUACGAAAGCGUGGGGAGCAAACAGG